ACUUGCUUGACACGCGGCCACCGUGCACUACAUGCUGUACAGGACCUCAGCUCCACAUAUAUAUGUUCACGCGCGCCGGGCCUGCCAUGCACUGCGCCGCACCUCCCGCAGGUGAGGAGUUCGACCUUUGACCUUUGGUGAAACGACAGAGUGUGUCUGCUCAUUACCGUGAACUUCUGUGUUGGAAUUCUGUGACAUAAAAUAGAGAAUCAUCUGAGUGCUUCACUUCAGAAUAGAGCCAGGCCGAAAGAGACACAAGAAAAUGGAAACCAUCUCUUCUGUCUUCAGACAUUCUUUCAGGAGACAAUCCAUCACAUCUCCAAACACCGACAUUGCAGCUACUGCAACUUCUACCAUAGACACCAACAACAACAGCCCUAUUAUCAUCAGGAAGAAGUCAUGCACUUGCUGUGGCAUUUGUGGCAAGCGACUGCUGAAACUUGCAAAAUGGAGCAACUAUAUCACCAUACCAUGCAAAAGUCGACAUGUCUUCUGUAAGGAAUGUUUUAAUGAACGUCUGAAAACUCGUCAGAAGGUCCUGACCUCUUUGUCCUUUGACCUCAUGUGGACCUUUCCCUGCCCAGGACAUGACGAGUGUGGUCAGGAAAUCUCUGUUGAUUGGUCCAGAGGGAGUCGAUUCUCAAGGAACCUAGUGGCACGAAACAUGGUCGAGGAGGAGGAUGUCGAGUUUAUUUUGGAACCGGAGAACACAAGUGAAGAGAGCUUUGACCAGGACACUAGUGGCCAGCUUGAUCUGGGUUAAGUGUCAGGACAUUGCCAUUGGAAUGGAACUGCUGAAAUGAUCUUGAUGAUGAGAAAGUAAGAAAGCUGAAACCAGGAUGUAAGCAACGUGUUUGAGCUUUUCCAAGUGUUGAUGUCGCUACCAAGACUGAGAAGAAAGCUUCAGCAAAAGUGAAGAUUCCUGGUGUCUUGCUGAAAAUCAGUGAUGGGAUUGACCACAGGGUAGGACUUACAAAUCUUCUGAACUCUCCCUGCUGAUGGCCAGUUUGAAAUCAAGUUCCAUCAAUUAUUCAGGCUGUACAAUUGGUGGAACAGCUUUGUCAGCUCAUUUGUGGAGAAGCAUUCAGAAAAGGUUGUGGACCUUUUGGUUUUGAAUCUCAGGAAGAUCAGAGAUACUGAGACAAUCUUAUUGCUGAACCCAUUUUCUUCCCUUUCUUUUGUGUUUUGUAGAACUGUGCCACGAGGAGAAGAAAUGGUUUGUGAUUCAGAUGAUCUGUCAUAAAAUGGUUAUUGAAUUUCCUUAAUAUUUAUUUUUUUCGGGUAUUUUCUUAAACUACUUGGCUGUGUCUUGUAUGGAACAUUGAAUACAGCAGGUCUUAUAAGAGGAAGAAGGGAGAAGAGGAAAACCGAGUAGUUAGAGCACAGGCAUUCAAACCGAGAGCACGCUGGUUCAAUACCCAUUUAACGCAGAAAACUUCUCCCAGUCGAUGCAGCUUAGGGGAAUUGAGUACCUGACUCCUUAGAUGGUUGGGUAAGGUAAAGCAGUGAGGGAGAGGAGAUGGCACUGCCCUCUCAUGAAGCUGGCGCCAAGAAAAGGUAUAAUACCUCACCCACCAACGACAUGAAAAGUUUAGGGGAUGACUUAUGGGGAAGCCGUGUUUAUUUAGCCAGCUUUUAUAAAAGAGUUUUUUGUACUGCAAAGCUUGACCAUUAUUUCACAAGACUUCUGCAGCAGAUCUGGUUUUUCACCAGCAUAAAUCCAUUUUUAUGAACUCCACAAAGCUUGUUGAUAUGCAUAUAUUUAUCUCGGUAGGCAGUCUUUGAUUCAUCUUUACAUCAGUUAUUUAUGAUUUAACUUCUUGUUAACAAAUUGAUUUUGCCUGGAUCGUAAUGAAGUUAAGAAAUUUUAUUCUGUUUAGCAUUGAUGGUUGCCGGAUAUUUGUGGUAGAAAUGGAUGUCCCGCUUUUAAAGGUUCUCUGCUCCUUGCAUCAAAGUCCCUCUAGGGCAGUGGUUCUUAACCUUGUUUGAGGUACCGAACCCACAAGUUUCAUACGCACAUUCAUCGAACCCUUCUUUAGUGUCAUCACAAAUUGCGGGUGUGUCUUGACCUCCGUGGCAGAGGCUCCACCGAACCCCUGAGACUGACUCACCGAACCCCUUAGUGUUCGAUCGAACCCUGGUUAAGAACCACUGCUCAUGUGUGAGAGGCAAGAAGAACACUAGGGAAAAAUUCAUUGAGAGUGAGAUUAAGAAAUUCUUUAGGAAAAUCUAUGAGCACUUCGUCAGAAAAUGGGAAAAAAGUUUUAAACAUGAGUGUUUAGCAUAUAAAUUUUGAUUUCCAUCUUCAAAUAUUUUUCAUCGAGAAUGUAGCAAGUUACAUUUUUAUUAUUUUCAUAAUAGUCCGAUUGUGCUUAAUUUGCUUGGUGCUGAGAAUUUUAGGGUAAAACAAAUCUUCAGAAUCUGCUGACAAGCAAUAAGCAACACAAAGGACUACAUACUAAAUUUAGUUUUAUUAAAAAUUUUGUAAAAGUUGUGCUGAAAAGAUUUUAAUAGCUGUUUCAUCUCUUGCGAACACUAAUGGUUCAAGCAUCUAGUUUGUGCAUUUAUCAUGAAGGGAAUGGAAGUAUAACUGAGGACUUGUGGGAGUGAUAGUUGAUGAUCUGCCAGUUUUGCUUUUGAGACAUCUCGGCUUCUGCUUCAAUUGAGCCACAUCUUUUUCACGAUACAUUUUCCCAUUUUUAAAAUACUUUAAAAAAAAAUUCUUUUGACAGUUUCUGCAAACAAGUUUUACAUUCCAUGUUGACAAAUAUGAAUCUGCUCCAAUUUGUGCAUGCACGAAUUAAUAUCCCAUCUAUGUCCAUGUGUUUCUUUUCAGUAGUAAAAGUGCUCAUAAAUUUCAGAGGUGGUUAGGCUCCAGAGAUACUUUUAUGAACAAAAUGUGAUUACUUCGCCAAUUCACUAUUUGGAUACUUUUCUGCUUAAAUUGCAUAGUGUGCCCUCUACAUUUGUUAAAUCAAGGAACAGAAAGUUCUAAUAUUUUGCUGUCAUUUGUCAGAGUAGGAAGCCUUGGUCCCAGAUGUACUUGGCUUGCAAAAUCAUCGCAGAUUUGUGGAUGAUAAACUGUUACAUGGGUGAAAUGAGUUGCCACUAACAGAAUCAUUGUCUUUGAAGUGUAUGUUUGACUUUAGAUGGCUGUCAUUUUUUCUUAGGCAAAUCUCUUGGAAGUAUCAGUGCAUAUCAGAACAGACUUGCUAGGUGUCAUAUGCUGUGCCUGACCGUCCAGGUGUAAUUAAGCAGCAGGUUUUUGGUAUUAUUGUUUGUACAGUAUUUAAUACAAUCUGAAUGUUGCAUGGCCUUGGUCAUCUUUUAACAUUUUCAAAAAUUAUCUGUUCUUGUAUUCUUGGGACAUCUUCGUCUUGAUGAAAAAGCAUUGGAGCACUGAAAAGGGAUUGCUUUAUUCAUUGAUCUGAUGUUAUUAACUGGGAGGCUUGUCCUUGUGACAUUUUUUGCCAUGCUUUUCCAGUUAAAUGGGAUUUGGGAAAGAGAGACAACUGCAUGACAUUCAUGUAAUUGUGAGUAUUAAAAAUAAACCCUGAUAAAGUGGUGACUGCGUGCAUGCUGCACCUUGUGUUGUCAUGCUCAGGAAUUGUUUAAAAAUCAUGACAGCUGUUUUUGCCAUUGGUUUGUUUAUUGUUACAGCUAUAUUUUAUACUGUAUGGAAAGCAAAUAAAAUUGCAUAAAUUUU
Molecule: long non-coding RNA, 3706 nt
Filed under: Pomacea canaliculata
Lineage: Eukaryota; Metazoa; Mollusca; Gastropoda; Architaenioglossa; Ampullariidae
Description: uncharacterized LOC112559044
Source: RNAcentral